Molecule: ribosomal RNA, 253 nt
Filed under: uncultured bacterium
Lineage: Bacteria
Description: partial 16S ribosomal RNA
Rfam family: Bacterial small subunit ribosomal RNA
Source: RNAcentral
GACAGAGGGGGCAAGCGUUGCUCGGAAUUACUGGGCGUAAAGGGCGCGUAGGCGGAAUGGCAAGUCGGUCGUGAAAUUCUUCGGCUCAACCGAAGAACGUCGAUCGAAACUGCCGUUCUUGAGGAUUGCAGAGGAGACUGGAAUUCCCGGUGUAGCGGUGAAAUGUGUAGAGAUCGGGAGGAACACCGGUGGCGAAGGCGGGUCUCUGGACAGUUCCUGACGCUGAGGCACGAAGGCCAGGGGAGCAAACGGG